CGGUGUGUGUAUACGUGUGAAUGUGAUUCACACAUGCAGCUCCUGUUAGCAAAGUGGUGACUUGUGUGUUGCCACUUGAAAUCAAAUGUUAUUUGUUACAUGCUUCGUAAGCAACAGGUGUAGACUAAUGGUGAAAUGCUUACUCACGGACCCUUCCCAACAACAGGUGUAGACUAAUGGUGAAAUGCUUACUCACGGACCCUUCCCAACAACAGGUGUAGACUAAUGGUGAAAUGCUUACUCACGGACCCUUCCCAACAACAGGUGUAGACUAAUGGUGAAAUGCUUACUCACGGACCCUUCCCAACAACAGGUGUAGACUAAUGGUGAAAUGCUUACUCACGGACCCUUCCCAACAACAGGUGUAGACUAAUGGUGAAAUGCUUACUCACGGACCCUUCCCAACAACAGGUGUAGACUAAUGGUGAAAUGCUUACUCACGGACCCUUCCCAACAACAGGUGUAGACUAAUGGUGAAAUGCUUACUCACGGACCCUUCCCAACAACAGGUGUAGACUAAUGGUGAAAUGCUUACUCACGGACCCUUCCCAACAACAGGUGUAGACUAAUGGUGAAAUGCUUACUCACGGACCCUUCCCAACAACAGGUGUAGACUAAUGGUGAAAUGCUUACUCACGGACCCUUCCCAACAACAGGUGUAGACUAAUGGUGAAAUGCUUACUCACGGACCCUUCCCAACAACAGGUGUAGACUAAUGGUGAAAUGCUUACUCACGGACCCUUCCCAACAACAGGUGUAGACUAAUGGUGAAAUGCUUACUCACGGACCCUUCCCAACAACAGGUGUAGACUAAUGGUGAAAUGCUUACUCACGGACCCUUCCCAACAACAGGUGUAGACUAAUGGUGAAAUGCUUACUCACGGACCCUUCCCAACAACAGGUGUAGACUAAUGGUGAAAUGCUUACUCACGGACCCUUCCCAACAACAGGUGUAGACUAAUGGUGAAAUGCUUACUCACGGACCCUUCCCAACAACAGGUGUAGACUAAUGGUGAAAUGCUUACUCACGGACCCUUCCCAACAACAGGUGUAGACUAAUGGUGAAAUGCUUACUCACGGACCCUUCCCAACAACAGGUGUAGACUAAUGGUGAAAUGCUUACUCACGGACCCUUCCCAACAACAGGUGUAGACUAAUGGUGAAAUGCUUACUCACGGACCCUUCCCAACAACCGGUGUAGACUAAUGGUGAAAUGCUUACUCACGGACCCUUCCCAACAACAGGUGUAGACUAAUGGUGAAAUGCUUACCCUUCCCAACAAUGCAGAGAUAGAAAUAAUAGAAAAGUAAAACAUGUAAUAAUAGAUACACAAUGAGUAAGGAUAACUUGGCAACAUACACAGGGUACCAGUACUGAGUCGAUGUGCAGGGUACGAGGUAGAUGUGUACAUUUGACUAGGAAUAAAGUGACAAAUAAUAAACGUAUGUGAUGAGGCAAAGUUUGUGCAAAAGGGUCAAUGCAAAUAGUCUCGGUAGCUAUUUGGUUAACUAUUUAACUCCCUAUUACUUUGUUGUGCUGUGGUU
Molecule: long non-coding RNA, 1544 nt
Organism: Oncorhynchus keta (chum salmon)
Lineage: Eukaryota; Metazoa; Chordata; Actinopteri; Salmoniformes; Salmonidae
Exons: 3
Source: RefSeq, a predicted model, not a curated record